RNAcentral lists this long non-coding RNA (617 nucleotides) under Homo sapiens (human). RNAcentral's name for it is "HSALNT0320971". Lineage: Eukaryota; Metazoa; Chordata; Mammalia; Primates; Hominidae. The record is from RNAcentral.
GGUGAGGUCAGGUGUCACUGCAGCAACGAGGAUGCCACUCAGAGAGACCAGAGGGACAAACACCACAGCCAGUCCUGCCACAGCCCUGCCACAAAAAAGAAUAUGCUGUCAAGUCAUUUGUUUGUGUUCAUACAUAAACUUAGAAGAUCACAGACAUUCAUUGUCAUAGGAGUACAUAAUAUUGCCUAGUGAGGCCAAAGUAACACCUAAGUUCCUGCCUACAGAGAAAGUAUGUGAAAAAGUGGGUGAACUUUGUAACGGUCAUUCACAAAACAGGAAUGAAUCAAAAAAUAUGUACUUUCUUUGCAAAAGAAUGCAGAAAGACUCCUGAGACCACCUAAAAAAUUGCAAGAAAUCAAUUCGUAAAUAUUUAGAGUCCUUUUGUUAAGAAAUUUGUAAAGAGUGGUAAUUAUAUAAUUAGGUCUGUGCAGAAGGGGAAGAAGCAGGCCUUUGGUCACAAAUUUAAGUUGCAUUAAAAACAUUAUUAAAGUAUUCAUUACAGGCACAAUGAUAGGCAAAUUAAAGACAAUCUCGGGUAAGAGAUGAACACUUGUGUUUUCUCUGUAUGUGGAGGGGGGUGUAUUUGUGGCAUUUAAGGCAGGAUAGAGAUGUGUAAG